RNAcentral lists this ribosomal RNA (900 nucleotides) under Triticum aestivum (bread wheat). RNAcentral describes it as "partial small subunit ribosomal RNA". Lineage: Eukaryota; Viridiplantae; Streptophyta; Magnoliopsida; Poales; Poaceae. The record is from RNAcentral.
AUGCGAGCUGAGCUGGUUGCAGCAGUGAAGGCGGCCGCAGAGACGGUGGGCUUCUUCCAGGUGGUGAACCACGGCGUGCCCAAGGCUGUCAUGUCGGAGAUGCUCGCAGCAGUGCUGGGUUUCCACGAGGAGCCGGUAGGGGCCAAGGCGCUCUACUACGGCCGGGACUAUGGUCGGCCUGUGAGGUACUGGAGCAUCUUCGACUUGUUCCAGUCACAGGCGGCCAACUGGCGCGGCACCUUGAUCAUCGAUACGGCGCCGGAGCUGCCGCCGCCUAAGGAGAUCCCACCCACAUGCAGGAGCAUUGCACCCAAGUACGUGAGGAUGAUGCAGCAGCUGGGACGCACCCUGCUUGAGCUGCUGUCGGAGGCGCUGGGCCUUCGCAGUGGCCACUUGGAGGAGGACGCCGCAUGCCUGGAGAGGCUCGCCGGCCAAUACUACCCGCCCUGCCCGGAGCCGCACCUGACACUCGGCACCACGCAUCACUCUGACCCUUGCUUCCUCGUCGUGCUUCUCCAGGACGCCGUCGGUGGCCUCCAGGUGCUUCUCGAGGAAGACUGCGAUGGCAACAACAACAAGAAGAAGUCGUCUGCUGUGUGGGUGGAUGUACCGGCGGUAGAAGGUGCGCUGGUGGUGAACGUCGGCGACUUCCUGCAGAUCGUCUCCAACGACAGGUUCAAGAGCGUGGAGCACCGUGUGGUGUCCCAGAGCGUCGGGCCUCGCGUCUCUGUGGCAAGCUUCUUCCGAAGGCAGGACGCGGCCACGUCCACAAGAGUGCUAGCGCCAAUCAUCGCCGACGGCGAGGCGCGGUACAGGAGCACGACGAUGGCGGACCUGGUCCGGCACAGCAGGGCCAAGGGCCUCGACGGUAGCUCUGCGCUGCAGCACUUGAGGCUCUGA